This 1275-nucleotide ribosomal RNA is filed under the name Triticum aestivum (bread wheat). Its description in RNAcentral is "partial small subunit ribosomal RNA". The record is from RNAcentral. Lineage: Eukaryota; Viridiplantae; Streptophyta; Magnoliopsida; Poales; Poaceae.
AUGGACAUGAACGAGAGCAGCGAGAAAGGGAUGGAGGGCAAUGGGUCCUCUGGCCCCGGCGGCGGCAUCCCCGUGGAGUGGCAGAGCCAAUUCAGCGGCGGCGGCUUCUCGGCGCACCAGCACCAGCAUCCCCACAUGAUGGACUCCUUCGCGUCGGGCAUGUGGUCGGCGGCCUCGCAGCAUGGCGCGGGGUUCCUGGCGCCGGUGCCCGGGUUCCUCCCGCCGCCUGGCCUAGGUGGCCAUUUCCCGGUGGACUCGGGCUUCAUCGAGCGCGCCGCGCGAUCGUCGUGCUUCGUCGGCCCCGGCGCUGGCGGUGGGAUGAUGGGCGCCGGCGCCUACGGCGGGGCGGGCGAUCAGCACAUGGGCAGCGCUUUCGGGGAGGGGUACUUGGAUCAUCGUAGGAAGGAAGGCGGGGACAAGGCCGAGCCGGAGCUCGCCGGGAGCGGAGGCGUGCCGAGCUCGGAGGCAGCCGGCGGAGACUGCUCGUCCAAAGGGUCAGACUCCAAGAAGAGGAGAAGGCCCAGCGAGGCGAUGGGUGGAGGCGAUCAGGUUCAGUCUUCCAACGUGGCCGCUGACUCCGCAAACGAGAGCGCCCAGAGCAAAGAUAAAGGCGAGGAGAGCAGCCCGGCGACGGGGACGACGACCGGCGGCAAGUCCAAGGGGAAGGGUGCCAAGGAGAGCUCCGAGAAGGAAGACUACAUCCAUGUCCGAGCCCGGCGCGGGCAGGCAACCAACAGCCACAGCCUUGCUGAAAGGCUGAGAAGGGAGAAGAUCAGUGAGAGGAUGAAGCUUCUACAGGACCUUGUUCCCGGCUGCAGCAAGGUCACCGGGAAGGCGGUGAUGCUCGACGAGAUCAUCAACUAUGUUCAGUCCCUGCAAAGACAAGUUGAGUUCUUAUCGAUGAAGCUGGCGACAGUAAACCCGAGGCUUGACCUCAACAUAGAAGGGCUUCUCUCAAAGGAUCUUCUUCGCUUCCCUGGAGUGUCUUCGUCGUCCAUGGGAUUCUCCCCGGAGAUGAUGCACCCGCAGCUGCAGCUGUCGCAGCCGGGGCUGAUGCAGGGAGGCGCCGCCGCCAUGGCAAACUCGGACGUGUUCAGAAGAAUCAUGCAAGCGCAACUAGGAGCAAAAGAUGGAUCCCAUUCCCAGAUGGCCCACGCAUUGAAUGGCCCGUUCAGCGAUCACGUUGCGCAGAUGGCUUACCCGUCCAUGGGCUCCUCGCACUCGCACUCGCAGGACCUCAGCAUCAGGCCGUCCCAGGACGCCUACCAAAUGUGA